RNAcentral lists this transfer RNA (67 nucleotides) under Salmonella enterica subsp. enterica serovar Paratyphi A str. ATCC 9150. RNAcentral describes it as "tRNA-OTHER". It matches the Rfam family "tRNA". From Rfam's summary of the family: Transfer RNA (tRNA) molecules are approximately 80 nucleotides in length. Their secondary structure includes four short double-helical elements and three loops (D, anti-codon, and T loops). The record is from RNAcentral. Lineage: Bacteria; Pseudomonadati; Pseudomonadota; Gammaproteobacteria; Enterobacterales; Enterobacteriaceae.
CGGCACGUAGCGCAGCCUGGUAGCGCACCGUCAUGGGGGGUCGGAGGUUCAAAUCCUCUCGUGCCGA